CAAUAAUACGCCUACGCCGCUUGCAGCAACUGGAACGCUCUCUGCCAUCACAAUUUUACACUUAAACCUUCCCCAUCCAUUUCUAUAAGAAAAGUAGCAGCUUCCCAGCGCCUAAAUAAUCCAAAUUUGUGACAUCACGUCUUCCCGCCCGGAGUUUGGUCACGUGGAUGUGACAUCGAGACUUCCUGAAAGCGUCUGAGUUAGGGAGUGUGCGUUGAGUGCUCCCGCUAAGCCUGGGCAUGGAGCAGGAAGACGGGGCUCUCCGGGAGAGCUUGCUUGCCCUCCAACGCGACCUCUCCGGCCAGGGCGAACAAUUGCGACCUCAAAGCCGCUGUGUGAGCCAAGCGGAGGCUGAAGGAGAACUCACCGAGGUGUUGCUGAAGUUUUUAAAAAACAGGAUUACUCGUUUACAUAUUGCUGCUUUCCUGACCCAAUCUGUUGUCCAUCAAACACUGCAAGGAGACCUGUCUUCAUUUGCAAAGACGAAAGAGACACAAGAAUCAACAGAGGAAAAUGGAGGAAAUGAGGAGCUUCUGUGCUCAGAGGCCUUGUUACAUUACUGCCUUCAAUGUCUGCAAGACGUCAUCAGCAAGUGGCUUGAGCAGCUGCCCCCCUUUCCACCACCUCCGCGUGACAUCUGUGUUUCUGUCCAUGCCAUCCGAAACACCCGCAGGAAAAUGGAGGAUCGACAUGUCAUUCUGCAAGAUUUCAACACCCUCUUUGGCAUAAAGGACAGUAUUCCAAGAUCAUACUUUGCUGUGUUUGAUGGGCAUGGGGGAGUGGAUGCAGCCAAUUAUGCUUCCACGUACGUACAUGUGAAUGUUGCACGUCAUGAGGGACUCAAACAGGAUCCAGCACAAUCGCUCAGGGAGUCUUUCCAAAAGACAGAUGCCAUGUUCCUGAAGAAAGCAAAAAGAGAGAGGUUGCGGAGUGGCACAACAGGGGUGUGUACCCUUCUGGAGGGAGAUCACUUACAUGUGGCCUGGCUAGGGGAUUCUCAAGCCCUCCUUGUACGGCAGGGUAGUCACGUGACACUGAUGGAUCCCCACAAACCAGAGAGAAAGGAUGAACGUGAGAGAAUUGAAUCUCUGGGUGGCUGUGUGGCUUUUAUGGGAUGCUGGAGGGUAAAUGGUACACUUGCUGUAUCCAGGGCUAUUGGUGACAUUGACCAGAAACCAUUUGUGUCUGGUGAGGGAGACGUUACUUCUCAAAUACUCAGUGGCACAGAGGACUUUUUGGUGUUGGCUUGUGAUGGAUUUUAUGACACUGUGUCACCACCAGAGGUCCCUGGCUUGGUUUUGGAUUAUCUGCAGGAGAGUGGGGGAAAUUGGCAACAUGUUGCAGAAAGGCUGGUGACUGUAGCCAAAGAAGGUGGUUCCAGUGACAACAUUACUGUCCUGGUAGUAUUUUUACAGCACCCACAGAAAUUACUGGAGGAUAUUCAGGCACAAGGCAGUGUGGAAGAACAAGCUCUGUUCGAUUUUGGUGGGGAGGCAGUGGAGGUUGCAUCAGAUAAUGCAGGGUGAUUACUUUGUCCAACAUUUACUGUAUAAUUCUUCAAAAACUGAUGUGCAGAGGUGGCAAGUUUCAGGAAACCAUGAAAGGGAAAUUUACAAGUCACUUAGGAAAGCAUGACAAAGUUUAUGGAAAGUGACAGGCUUGAUAAUGAAACUAAAAUUCUGAAUUGAAUGACCAAAAAUAGAGAGGAAACCAUUUGAGAAAAUGAUAUGGUUUUUACAAAAGGGCAACUUGCCAGUUCCUGCUAUACUGAUUCCUACAUUAUUUUUAACCUCUAUUUUUUCACGUGGUCAUUUCACUGGGGGAAGACAGGUCUUAAUUAGCAAAGCAUGGCAGAAUAAGAAGCCAGAUUAUUUAUUUAAAUUUUAUUAACCCAGCUGGAACCAAUCUCUUCAUAAAUCACCAGAAGACAUUGUCUUUCACUUCCAUUGGGUGCAUUCUGGAAGACAGAACCCUGCUAAUCAUUUUAAGAGCAUUGCUUACUUGUUACAUAGCUAUAAGACUCUUCUGGAUUCUUAAUCUACCUAUUUUAUUUGGCAGUAGUAGGAGGCUACCUCCUAUCUUAGUGUCAUGACCUGGUUUUUAUUCUAUUUCUACAGCCAUGCAGAGGUUGCUCUCCCAAAACAGACCCAGUCCAAUUAUUUAUAAUCUGACGUGAUUUUUUUUUUAUUCAAGUUUCUCCCACCACCACAGUAUUAAGACAGCCCCUUCAUCAUCACUUGUAAUAAGCUUUGGGUCCCCUGCCUCAUCAGACUGUCUGGGCAGUGAUUAUGUGCUCUAAUUGCUGUUGCACAAUUUUAUUUUACAGACAGAAUGUUUUUGCCUCGUUUUUCUAUGGGAAAUGUUCAGUGUUACAGUUUUAUAAUUAUGAACAGUUAUUUAAUUUUUUAAAUUGAACUCAGGUGGUUUGAAUUUGAAUUUAUCAGUGGAAUUUCUGGGAGCUGGCGUGGUGUCAAAAAUAACCGAUUUAUAAAGCUAUAUAAUGUGUUCAGUAUUGUUGUUUGUAAACUAAAGACAUUUUGUAUGUUGUAUAAUCUGUAUUUCCCCACAGGCGGAGUUUCAAUAAAUUUCUGCAUACCCAG
Xenopus laevis (African clawed frog) is the source of this 2600-nucleotide RNA transcript. It is a transcript of the gene named protein phosphatase, Mg2+/Mn2+ dependent 1F L homeolog, with no coding region annotated. NCBI's taxonomy places the organism in Eukaryota, Metazoa, Chordata, Amphibia, Anura, Pipidae. The transcript is spliced from 8 exons. The record is from RefSeq and is a predicted model, not a curated record.